Ictalurus furcatus (blue catfish) is the source of this 1500-nucleotide non-coding RNA. The record is from the annotation of a RefSeq genome assembly. Lineage: Eukaryota; Metazoa; Chordata; Actinopteri; Siluriformes; Ictaluridae.
GUGUGUAAUUAUUACAUAUUUAACAUCAAUAAUUGUAGAUUUGUUGAAUGUUCAAGAACAUUGAUAUGGGAUCUGUUCUGAUACUGAAAUGUGUUCCUCAUCAGAGCUUAAUAAUACACAAUAACAUCAAUUAUGCAAUUAUAAACAUAAAUAAUCUGUUUAGUUUAAGUUUAUUUAUUCAUGUAAUUAGUAAUGAACUAAAUGGAUUUUGUGUUAAAAGAAGAAAACACACUUACUGUUCACCACGAGUUUGGAGCCUCCACCAAAAGUCCACCACAGUGAUACAUUCUAAUGAAACCAUCGUACAAAAACCUCCAUCACACUGCAGUGCACACACACACACACACACACACACACACACACACACACACACACGCGCACACACAGACACACACACACACACACACACACAAACACACGCACUCACACACACAAACACACGCACGCACUCACACACACUCUCUCUCUCUCUCUAUCUCACACACACACACACACACACACACACACACACACACACACACUUUGCAUUGCCAGUCCAUGCUUCAGUGCUCUGCGAGUGUUUAUAGCCCUGUGACUUUAACACUUCAUGACUGAGAGCUGCUGCUCAGCAACUUCACCCACAGCAACCAUGACUUUGAUCAGCGUCUUCAUCUGCACACUGGCCCUCUGGACUCAAGGAUCCAGAGGUCAGGUGACUGUGACUCAGACUCCUUCAGUGCAAACUGUUGAUCCAGAAAAAACAGUCACCUUCAACUGUAGAACCAGUAGCAGAGUGCAUGAUGGUACUGAUCUCGCCUGGUACCUGCAGAAACCUGGAGAAGCUCCUAAACUCCUGAUCUAUGCUGCUACUAGCUCAUACACAGGGACUCCAGCUCGUUUCAGUGGCAGUGGAUCUAAUACUGACUUCACUCUGACCAUCAGAGGAGUCCAGACUGAAGAUGCAGGAGAUUACUACUGUCAGAGUGAACACUGGAUCAGUGGUAGUGUUGUGUUCACACAGUGUUAGAGCGCCGUACAAAAACCUCGGUCAGUGAGAGUGCACAGAGAAGCGCUGCUGCAGCUGGGAGCGACUGCAGGUGCUGAGGGGGAGGAUGUGAUACAGCACAAUGACACACACUGUGGACGAGAGAAAACACACCACACUAACUCACUAAUGCACACACACAUCUGUGAGAGGAGUCCACCUUUCUCAGCUGUGGACAUACAAACAAUUCCUCAUCAUUCUCUUUCACUGCUUAGUAAUUAUCUUUAUCCUCAUUUAGAAAUUAUUUAUUAUAUUUUGUUGCAUAUAUGAUCUACCAAAAGACUUCUUUAUGGUUAAUAUCAAACACUAUUAUAAAGUUAAUAUUGUAUUGUAUAAACUUUAAUAUUCAUUAAAUAGAGCCACAUUAUAGAGCUGAAACUGACAUUUAACUGAACAUUUCUUUAAUUAUUAAAACAUUAGAUAAUAACUAAUUCAGUCUAGCUUCUCAAAUCACUGAACCAGAUCAUUGUUAAAAA